RNAcentral lists this long non-coding RNA (889 nucleotides) under Daphnia pulicaria. RNAcentral describes it as "uncharacterized LOC124327367, transcript variant X2". The record is from RNAcentral. Lineage: Eukaryota; Metazoa; Arthropoda; Branchiopoda; Diplostraca; Daphniidae.
CCGCCAUUUUUUUUUCGAGCACUGAUUGAAAGCGUAUCGUUAUCCGUAUCCGUACGGCGUAUUUUCCUUCCUCAAAUUUUCUUCAUAAAAAUGUAAUUUGUGUGGUAACCUAGCCUAUAAUUUCUACUUGGAAAUUCCAGCUGAUCAUGUGGCCUGAGCAGAACCUGAGCAUCUGUACAUUUUGCCAAGAUGUCGUCUCUUUUUCCUGUACCGGCUGUUUGUAAGAAUCACUUCAGAACAAAUCAGUCUGGGAAAGUCUGAGCUUCGUCGUUGCUGCCAAUGUACACAUGGAUUUAAUGCAGCCAGGUGUUCCUCUUGCUACCUGUACUGCUGUGUGUUUCGUCAAAUGAAGAAACAUGAACAACUGAAGUUUAUCGUGUUUGUUCGCGUUGUUGGCUUGUUGCUGUCCGCUGUGGUACGUUGUUUCAGCCUCUGCUGGUGAUAGAUCUUUCUGCAUCAAAUUCAAUUAGCCGUUCCUUGGUGCUGGACUGCUGGUGUCGUGGUACCGAAAUCGCAUCAUUAUUUUGUUAAAUUGUCAUCGUGACUGCAGUUUACCGUUAAUAAGUUAAGAAGCAACAAAAACAAAUAUGGGAUGUCUAUGUCAACAAAUAAUAAACAUGUUUUCGGGAUUGGGAAAGGAAAGUGGAGGAUGUUGGAGAGGGGGAGGAUAUUUCAAGUUUGGAUAAAAAAUCAGUUAAUCUAUAACCCUACAAAUGUUGCCCUACCAAUUAAUCUCCAAACCCCACAAACAUAUACCUUCCAAUCCUUCAAACCCCGAAAACAUACACCACUAACCCUUAAAUUUAUACCCUUAACCCUAUAAACCAAUGUUAAACCUUAACCAUGUAAUAUCUGUAAUAAAUAAAAAUAAAUAUAUUAUAUGAACCAA